UCGGCUGUGGUGUAACGGGUAACACAUUGCUUCUUUAUAGCGAAGCUGGGCGUUCGAGUCGCUCUGGUCGGC
Transfer RNA from Tulasnella calospora, 72 nucleotides. It matches the Rfam family "tRNA". From Rfam's summary of the family: Transfer RNA (tRNA) molecules are approximately 80 nucleotides in length. Their secondary structure includes four short double-helical elements and three loops (D, anti-codon, and T loops). The record is from Rfam. Lineage: Eukaryota; Fungi; Basidiomycota; Agaricomycetes; Cantharellales; Tulasnellaceae.